GGGCGAGUGGCGGAAUCUGGUAGACGCGCUAGACUUAGGAUCUAGUGGGAAACCGUGGGGGUUCAAAUCCCUUCUCGCCCACCA
RNAcentral lists this transfer RNA (84 nucleotides) under Bacillota bacterium. RNAcentral's name for it is "tRNA-Leu". It matches the Rfam family "tRNA". From Rfam's summary of the family: Transfer RNA (tRNA) molecules are approximately 80 nucleotides in length. Their secondary structure includes four short double-helical elements and three loops (D, anti-codon, and T loops). Further hydrogen bonds mediate the characteristic L-shaped molecular structure. tRNAs have two regions of fundamental functional importance: the anti-codon, which is responsible for specific mRNA codon recognition, and the 3' end, to which the tRNAs corresponding amino acid is attached (by aminoacyl-tRNA synthetases). tRNAs cope with the degeneracy of the genetic code in two manners: having more than one tRNA (with a specific anti-codon) for a particular amino acid; and 'wobble' base-pairing, i.e. permitting non-standard base-pairing at the 3rd anti-codon position. The record is from RNAcentral. Lineage: Bacteria; Bacillati; Bacillota.